GGGCUUGUGGUUUAGUGGUAUAAUACUCCCUUAGCAUGGGAGUGGUCCAGGGUUCGAUUCCCUGCAAGUCCAU
This is a non-coding RNA of Stemphylium lycopersici, 73 nucleotides long. The record is from the annotation of a GenBank genome assembly. Lineage: Eukaryota; Fungi; Ascomycota; Dothideomycetes; Pleosporales; Pleosporaceae.